Molecule: ribosomal RNA, 441 nt
Filed under: uncultured bacterium
Lineage: Bacteria
Description: partial 16S ribosomal RNA
Rfam family: Bacterial small subunit ribosomal RNA
Source: RNAcentral
CCUACGGGUGGCAGCAGUCGGGAAUAUUGCGCAAUGGAGGAAACUCUGACGCAGCGACGCCGCGUAGAGGAAGAAGGUUUUCGGAUUGUAAACUAUUGUCGGUAGGGAAGAGAAAAGACUGUACCUAAGGAGGCAGCCCCGGCCAACUAUGUGCCAGCAGCCGCGGUAAUACAUAGGGGGCAAGCGUUAUCCGGAAUUAUUGGGUGUAAAGGGUGCGUAGACGGAAGAACAAGUUGGUUGUGAAAUCCCUCGGCUCAACUGGGGAACUACAACCCAAACUCUUCUCCUGGAGUGUCGGAGAGGGAAGUGGAAUUCCUAGUGUAGCGGUGAAAUGCGUAGAUAUUAGGAGGAACACCAGUGGCGAAGGCGACUUUCUGGACGAUAACUGACGUUGAGGCACGAAAGUGUGGGGAGCAAACAGGAUUAGAUACCCGGGUAGUC